Molecule: non-coding RNA, 188 nt
Filed under: Domibacillus iocasae
Lineage: Bacteria; Bacillati; Bacillota; Bacilli; Caryophanales; Bacillaceae
Source: RNAcentral
UACAUAUUGAACGAUCCGGGUGAAGCCGCUCUAUGCGGUUUCUUAAAAGGGAAGCUGGUGAAAAUCCAGCGCGGUCCCGCCACUGUAAAUGGGAACAAACGACAGACUUGCCACUGUGCGCUACGUGCGGGAAGGCGUCGCUUGUGAUGAACAUGAGCCAGGAGACCUGCCCGGACAAUGUGCACCAA